Molecule: transfer RNA, 85 nt
Filed under: Felis catus (domestic cat)
Lineage: Eukaryota; Metazoa; Chordata; Mammalia; Carnivora; Felidae
Also listed under: 2 other names
Rfam family: tRNA
About the family: Transfer RNA (tRNA) molecules are approximately 80 nucleotides in length. Their secondary structure includes four short double-helical elements and three loops (D, anti-codon, and T loops). Further hydrogen bonds mediate the characteristic L-shaped molecular structure. tRNAs have two regions of fundamental functional importance: the anti-codon, which is responsible for specific mRNA codon recognition, and the 3' end, to which the tRNAs corresponding amino acid is attached (by aminoacyl-tRNA synthetases). tRNAs cope with the degeneracy of the genetic code in two manners: having more than one tRNA (with a specific anti-codon) for a particular amino acid; and 'wobble' base-pairing, i.e. permitting non-standard base-pairing at the 3rd anti-codon position.
Source: Rfam by way of RNAcentral
GCCUGGGUGGCUCAGUAGGUUGAGUGGCUGACUUCAGCUCAGGUAAUGAUCUCGCAGUUUGUGAGUUCGAGUCCCAUGUCAGGUU